This 338-nucleotide unclassified non-coding RNA is filed under the name soil metagenome. RNAcentral's name for it is "partial contains 5.8S ribosomal RNA, internal transcribed spacer 2, and large subunit ribosomal RNA". The stretch from base 1 to 120 matches the Rfam family "5.8S ribosomal RNA", at positions 35 to 154 of the family's 154-position model. The record is from RNAcentral.
GAUGAAGAACGUAGCGAAAUGCGAUAAGUAAUGUGAAUUGCAGAAUUCAGUGAAUCAUCGAAUCUUUGAACGCACAUUGCGCCGGGUAGUAGUCUGCCGGGCAUGCCUGUUCGAGCGUCAUUUCAACCAUCAAGCCCCAGCGCUUGUGUUGGGGGCCUGCGGCUGCCGCAGCCCCCCAAAAGCAGUGGCGGGCUCGCUAUCACACCGAGUGCAGUAGUUCAUCUUCUCUCCGGUCUUGUGAGGCGGGUUCCGGCCGUGAAACACCCCACUACAUUCAAGGUUGACCUCGGAUCAGGUAGGAAUACCCGCUGAACUUAAGCAUAUCAAUAAGCGGAGGA